CUAUUUCUGUAUUUUGUGCAUAUAAUUCCAAAUACUCACUCAACACCGGCGCCUGUGUGUGCAAUCCAGAGAGAGAAGAAAUCUAGAGAGAAAGAAGAAGAAAGGAUGACAAGGGGAAAACAGAAGAUCGAAGCACAGAGAAAAAACGCAGAGAAGAAUCAGAAAUCAAAAGGAUCUCAAUUAGAACAUCGUGCUGUUGCUCUCAAAGUUACCUGUCCAAUCUGUAAAGUGCAAUUAGCAAAUCAAAACCAGCUGGGUGAUCAUUACGGCUCCAAACAUCCAAAGGAGAAGCCUCCAAGCAACUCUGAAUGAUUGGUAUCUUGUUUUGCAGAACAUGAUGUUGUGAUCGUCUUGUUUUGUGGUAAACGUUGUGUUUUUUACUCAUCUACAUGAAACUGAACGAGGGUCAAUAGUGUGAAGUUGGGCGUGUGGGUUUUUGCAUUCACAUUCCAUUUUUUCAUAUGAGUCUUGUGUUUCUAUUACUUUGCCAUUUGCGUUGUUGCAUAAACUGGAUCGUUUGUUGAGUUGUGUGUAAAGAAAAUUGUGAGUCAAGGUUAAAUAUAGAUCAUGGUUUAUUUUUUUUA
Long non-coding RNA from Helianthus annuus (common sunflower), 584 nucleotides. RefSeq lists it as uncharacterized. The record is from RefSeq and is a predicted model, not a curated record. NCBI's taxonomy places the organism in Eukaryota, Viridiplantae, Streptophyta, Magnoliopsida, Asterales, Asteraceae. The transcript has 2 exons.